Long non-coding RNA from Canis lupus familiaris (dog), 294 nucleotides. RefSeq lists it as uncharacterized. Lineage: Eukaryota; Metazoa; Chordata; Mammalia; Carnivora; Canidae. The record is from RefSeq and is a predicted model, not a curated record. The transcript has 3 exons.
AAGGAAGGAAGGAAGGAAGGAAGGAAGGAAGGAAGGAAGGAAGGAAGGAAGGAUUUCAACUGAGAAAGAAAAAUCUGUUCUGGUCAUCUGUUCAUGUUUGACAAAUCAUCACAAAACCUGGAGAUGAGAAAAAAAGAAGUACAGAAACAUUGAGCAACUUGUCAAAAGUCACUCAGCUGGCAGGAAUUAUGAAAAUGGAGAAAGACGCCAUUUCCCUCAGACCCACAGUGUCACCCAGCUGCUGCUAGGUGGACCUUGAGCUCAGGAAGCAAAGAUCAUACCCACCUUCCUCAC